UUUCAAGCCAGCUAGUGGUGACAGUGGCGAGGAAAAAAUACUUCACCAACUGAUGAAGUGAAGAGAAACUUGUCUCUCUUGGGCACGACCAUUAUUCAUGUCCAUACGUUCUGUGUGAAGCUGCAGUCUAUACACCAGGCGCUGGAGAAGCUGGACGUUCAUCGUGGAGAAGCUGCAGGAAACAGUCUCAUGCACUCCAUUUCUCCAUGAUGACCACAGCAUAAGCUCGGGAUACGGCCUGGUCCAGGAUUAUGGAUACCUUGGGAUCAUCUUCUCACAGGUCUUGGAUCGCAUCAAUGGCACUGCAGAAUCUCGGGAAUGUGUAUCCUCAGGUGGAAAUAAAAAAUAAAGAAAAUGAUUAGCUUUG
Non-coding RNA from Danio rerio (zebrafish), 367 nucleotides. Lineage: Eukaryota; Metazoa; Chordata; Actinopteri; Cypriniformes; Danionidae. The record is from RefSeq and is a predicted model, not a curated record.